RNAcentral lists this long non-coding RNA (1301 nucleotides) under Elaeis guineensis (African oil palm). Its description in RNAcentral is "long non-coding RNA (EGUI_LNC077311)". Lineage: Eukaryota; Viridiplantae; Streptophyta; Magnoliopsida; Arecales; Arecaceae. The record is from RNAcentral.
GGUUUUUGUUUUCUGUCUUGGUACACGUAGGCAUUGUUAUCACAAUAUUGCUUUUUUCUUGUUCUGGAGCGUAUAUAUUUUUAUGAUUCGUUGGGACGCUGAUUUUUCAAGGAUCUUGUUAGUCUUAUUAUAUGAAGAGGAUUUUCAUGUCAUAGAGAAGCCUGACUCAGACAAUAUCUUGAGUCAAACAUCAUGACAUUAUUUUGUAUUUUGGAACUUCUUUCACAGAAAAAAUACGCAUAGGAGCAUGGAGCUUAUAGAUUCUAUUUACAGUACUUAUUAGUUUGUGCUUCAGCUUACAGUUGAGUGAUACAGAAACAAGUUCUAUUGAGAUGGUACAACUUGGUAGUUGGUGGAAAAGGAUGCAGUGAUAACUAUAUGUUCUAUGCAAAUAACACCUGGGCUGAGCUGGUUGGAGCUUGCUGUUGUCUCCAUCCAGCUCCAUUUUGGUAUUCUAAUUGACUAUAUGUAAUAAGUUUUUUACAUUAUUCAAUAAUACUGACUAAUCUAAGAAACAUCUGGAUUAUUUGAAUUGCAAUAUUUGGUAGUAUGAACAUGAGGGACAUGGUUAUUUGAAUCGGAAUAUUCUGUAAGAUAACUAUGUAAUGCUGGGCUAUUUGAAUUGGAAUAUUUUUAUGUAUAUACAAUUGUUAGCAUCAGGUGGGAACCCGCGAUUAUAAAAAUUAGAAGCUCUUGUAUUGUAUUUUGAAAAAAGUAUAUUAUUGGGACUAGUGGAAGUUGUGUUAUUAACUAAAAAAUUUCAUGUGCUAGUUCUGGUCAUGGCCAGUGCUGAUCAACUUUAUCACCUUGCACAUGGUUUAUGUAACAUUUGAAAUUUAUCUAGUUACUGACUUGUUGCAUAGAAUGUCUGAUAUAUAAUUUAUAGCAUUUCCAGCUUGACAUGAUGGUUUGAAAUUUUGUCUGAAGUUAGGUGUAUGUUUUCCUUUUCAACCUGACUUCAUAUUUAAAAUUUCUUUCAUUUAUGUCAUGUCGAACCAAAAAAAGAAAAAAAACAGAAACCAGCAUCCUGAAUAAGCCAAUAUUUCCCUCUUGUUUUGAUGGAGCCCAAUACCUGUCAUGUUUGGUGGAAGCUUUGUCUUUUCUAUAUAUAUUUUUUCAAAAAUAUGGACAGAGAAUUAGUUUUGGAUGGAAGAAGUCCAACGAUAACUUUUGUUAAAGUGUGAAUUGUUUUCGAGUUUUAUUUGUCAUGGUUGUCAUGUGGGGCCUGGGAGGAGCUAAUUGAUAGCAAAUGCAAUGAUGAUUUGUUGGAAGGGAGACAUAAGGGGAAGAGGCAUGGACAC